Molecule: long non-coding RNA, 1918 nt
Organism: Oryctolagus cuniculus (rabbit)
Lineage: Eukaryota; Metazoa; Chordata; Mammalia; Lagomorpha; Leporidae
Source: Ensembl
GAGACAUCCUAAACAAAGAUGAGAUUUCUGAGUUAGUCUGAAAUUUAUAGGCUGCCUUACAAUUCAUGCUGAUUCUUUUAGUUUCCUAAUUUACUUACUAAUAGAAAUAGCCUCAGGAGACAAUUGCACAUUUUUGUGACUUUCUUUGGAGGAUAAGAUCUGAAAAAUUAAUAAAUGGUUUCAUUUAUAAACUCCUGAACACUACAUACUGUUUAGCCCAUUUCCAAACAUGCAACUGUUGCAUCUUACAUAGGCAUUGAGGGAGAAGACUGUUUUAAAUGCUUCUAUUAUUUAAGAGACUAGAUCAGAAAGAAAGAAGGCUAUUUAGAAUGAGAUAGGCUACUACUUAAAAUUAGACCGCAAGCGGUUGUUAUGAUACCUCCCUCUAAUCCCACUGAUUUUAAGGCCUAGCUCUAUAAUAAAAAUACCUGGGAAGAUUGUUUUUAAUGCCUAGAUGUUGGAUCCAUCUGCAGAGACUCUGACUUAAUUAUCUGAGGUCAGACAUUAAAACAAACUCCUCGAGGUGAUUUAAAAUGUUACGAGUAUCUAUGGUAGCCCCGCCGUCGUAAGCGGCGCUGUGGCCUCGGUUGGGGUGGAGUGAGGCCUCCACGUUCCGUACUCACCUGCGAGGUGUCCUGCGCAGACGGGAGCGAUGUCCCAGAAAAGCAGCCGGUAGACUUGGGUCUCCUCGAGGAGGAUGACGAGUUCGAGGAGUUCCCUGCCGAAGACUGGGCUGGUUUAGAUGAAGAUGAAGAUGCACGUGUCUGGGAGGAUAAUUGGGAUGAUGACAAUGUCGAGGAUGACUUCUCCAAUCAGUUGCCAGCUGAACUGGACUAGGAUGGAGAACCCAGGAUCUGCUUGGAUUUAUUUUUGUUUUUGUAGCACAAGAAAAAUAAAUGAAAAAAAAAAAUGUUCAGCCAGUGUUGAACAUGACUCGCUCAUCAAGUCAGUACGCAGCUUAAAGCAGGAAUGGGAAGUAUGUGGUGACAGUUUCCCAAAUGAGUGAGGCAAACCACACUGAAGAAGGCUCCCACCAAGCAAGCAGUCUGUCACAAUGCAAGAAAAAAACAAAUGUCCUUUAUGGGAGCCUACAUAGAAAUGAUAGAAAUGAACGUGUCCUAUUUUAGUAAUCAGUUCGUACCAUCCUCUAUCCAAGUCGUCCAUUAUCCUUUUCCCAGUUUAAAAGAAGCAAAGGCUUGACCUCAGCUGAGGUCACAGAAGGCUGGAUUAGAUCAAAGCCAAGGCUGUCCCAGAAAUUAGGGACUCUGAGAGCCUGGUGAAGCAAGGCACAAGGAAAAGUCCCAAAGUGAGAAGAAAAAUGAGACCAGAAACAAAGGGUCAACUGCAAGAAACAGACAAAUCCAAGGACACGCUUGCUCAGCGGUGGAGUCUCAAGCAGCAACAUUCAGUGGGAGAAAGCAUUUUAGUAACAGCAGAGAACUGUGGGUGGGGAGCAGUUACCACAGCACCACCAAAAAAAGGGCACCACCUAAUUUACAGUAAGUGGUACUCAGCAGCAGCAGCAUGACUGGAAUAGGAGGUUUUACUUGAAUCCAUACUGAAUUAUUCUCAGAAGUGUUUGAACUAUAACUGUUAUUUUCUAUGUGCAUGAGUUGAUAGUCACAAAGGCUUUGAGGGCUAAGAAGGAGAAGAGUUGAGUACCUUAGCCUCUGCAUACACUGAGCUAGGGAUCCAGCCUCAAGGAGGAUAUGAGGAAGCUGAAGGUGACAGCACAAUGACCCUCAGCUGGCUCAGCCCGAUAGACUGGUGUAGAAACUGGAGUGAGAACAGCCAGACUUUUCUAUGAAACCCUGUGCCACAUUCCAAAGGAAUUUCAAGAAGUUUUGUUACAGGACUGAGAGGACUGAAAACAACAACAACAAAAAAUAAAGAAUAUAGCAUUGUACCUGCUUUUCCA